Molecule: ribosomal RNA, 254 nt
Filed under: uncultured bacterium
Lineage: Bacteria
Description: partial 16S ribosomal RNA
Rfam family: Bacterial small subunit ribosomal RNA
Source: RNAcentral
UACGUAGGGGGCGAGCGUUGUCCGGAUUUAUUGGGCGUAAAGAGCUCGUAGGCGGUUUGGCAAGUCGGGUGUGAAAUUUCGAGGCUCAACCUCGAAACGCCACUCGAUACUGCCAUGACUGGAGUCCGGUAGAGGAGUGCGGAAUUCCUGGUGUAGCGGUGAAAUGCGCAGAUAUCAGGAGGAACACCAACGGCGAAGGCAGCACUCUGGGCCGGUACUGACGCUGAGGAGCGAAAGCGUGGGGAGCAAACAGG